RNAcentral lists this ribosomal RNA (329 nucleotides) under uncultured bacterium. RNAcentral's name for it is "bacterial SSU rRNA". It matches the Rfam family "Bacterial small subunit ribosomal RNA", at positions 568 to 898 of the family's 1533-position model. The record is from RNAcentral.
CGCGUAGGUGGUAGUGCAAGUCUGGGGUGGAAUCUUAGGGCUUAACCCUAAAACUGCCUUGGAAACUGCAUUACUUGAGUCAGUGAGGGGAGGGUAGAAUUCCUGGUGUAGCGGUGAAAUGCGUAGAUAUCAGGAGGAAGGCCUGUGGCGAAGGCGGCCCUCUGGCGCUGAACUGACACUGAGGCGCGAAAGCGUGGGUAGCAAACAGGAUUAGAUACCCUGGUAGUCCACGCCCUAAACGGUGGGUACUAGGUGUAGGGCUCGUAAGGGUUCUGUGCCGAAGGGAACCAUUAAGUACCCCGCCUGGGGAGUACGGCCGCAAGGUCGAA